Molecule: ribosomal RNA, 250 nt
Filed under: uncultured bacterium
Lineage: Bacteria
Description: partial 16S ribosomal RNA
Rfam family: Bacterial small subunit ribosomal RNA
Source: RNAcentral
UACGGAGGGUGCAAGCAUUAAUCGGAUUUAUUGGGCGUAAAGAGGGCGUAGGCGGAGAAGUAAGUCAGAUGUGAAAGCCCGGGGCUCAACCCCGGAACGGCAUUUGAAACUGUUUUUCUAGAGGGUAGGCGGAGAAAACGGAAUUCCACAAGUAGCGGUGAAAUGCGUAGAUAUGUGGAAGAACACCGGUGGCGAAGGCGGUUUUCUAGCUUAUUCCUGACGCUGAGGCCCGAAAGCAAGGGGAGCAAAC